GAUGAACGCUGGCGGCGUGCUUAACACAUGCAAGUCGAGCGGGCAAUUUAUCUAGCACUGAUUACUUCAAAUGGAAAUCAUAAGUGUAAUCAUGAAUUUCUACCUUUAAUAAAGAAAAAAGAAAUUCAUGUACGCAAAUAGUGAUAACACAUUUUAGUGGAGUGAUGAGUGCUGGAUAAAUUGCUAGCGGCGGACGGGUGCGUAACACGUGGGUAACCUGCCCCUAUCACUGGGAUAACACACUGAAAAGUGUGCUAAUACCAGAUAAUAUAAGCUUUUGGCAUCAUUAGUUUAUCAAAGAAUUUCGGAUAGGGAUGGGCCCGCGUCUGAUUAGCUAGUUGGUGAGGUGACGGCUCACCAAGGCAACGAUCAGUAGCCGACCUGAGAGGGUGAUCGGCCACACUGGAACUGAGACACGGUCCAGACUCCUACGGGAGGCAGCAGUGGGGAAUAUUGCACA
This 460-nucleotide ribosomal RNA is filed under the name uncultured bacterium. RNAcentral's name for it is "bacterial SSU rRNA". It matches the Rfam family "Bacterial small subunit ribosomal RNA", at positions 28 to 370 of the family's 1533-position model. The record is from RNAcentral.